This 953-nucleotide long non-coding RNA is filed under the name Equus caballus (horse). RNAcentral's name for it is "lncRNA (ENSECAG00000057832.1)". The record is from RNAcentral. Lineage: Eukaryota; Metazoa; Chordata; Mammalia; Perissodactyla; Equidae.
AUCACAUUCUAGGAGACAAAACAAGUUUAGUAAAUUUUAAAGGAUUCAAGUCUAACAAAGUAUGAAGUUAAACUAGAAAUCAAUAAUAGAAUAUCUCCAGAAAAACUGCUAACCAUUUGGAAACUAAUUUACACACUUCUAAGUAACAGAGCUUUCUUGAGCAUCGCAGAACCUGGGCACAGGGAGGCCAGAGUCAGCGAGUCUACAGGCUGGAUGUUACAAAGGUUUCCAGAGUAGGGGAAAUCAAGAGCACAAUGUGACGUCAGCCUUUCCGGAGCCUCAAGGACAUUCAAAGGCUUUGUUUUUCAUUCAGCUAUUGAGCUACUGAGAAACACUUCAAUCCUGUAUCCUCAAAACACUAGCAACAAAGGCUGAGUGCAUCCUCACAAAUCCAGUGGAAUCAGAGGUACCCUAACAGUUGAAUAGUUCUAUCUUUCUCUCUCAUUCAAGGCUGGAAUCUGACAUCUACUAAUACUGAGAAAUCAUGACACCUCCACAACAUGGUUGGUGAAUGGAGUAGGUCCACACCCGGGAUCCAAACCUGUGAACCCAGGCCACUGAAGCGGAGUGUAGGGAACUUUAUACUUGACCAUGGGGCUGGGCCCUAAUGUUGGAUUUGCAUCUGCCACUUUGCUUUUUAAUUUUUAUGUCUCAUAUAUUUUUAUUUCCUCUGUUGCUUCUUUACUGUAUUUUUUUGCAGCAAAUACAUACUUUCUAUUUCAUCAUUUUUAUUCCGUUAUUACCAUUGUUGUUUUCACCAUAUUUUGGGUGUUAUUUUCUUAGCGUUUUUUCUGGAGAUUACAAUAUGUAUCUUAAUUUAUCACAACCAACUUCAGAUCAAUAUUAACAAUUCCAGUAAAACAUAGAUUUUUUUCCAACAAAGCUCCUCUUUUCCCUUCUCCUUUGUGAUAUUAUUACCAUUUCUAUUACAUACACACACGUUAAGGUUCAAC